AUCAUCGAAUUUAUCCGGAUUUUUAGAUGGCUUUUUUUGGAUUUUAGAUAACCCCGUGGACUAUAUUUACCAGAGCAAAUUACAAAAUAGUCUUUGUGGUUUAGGUAAUUUUUGGUUUUAAUUUUUUAUUUUAAUUCGGCCCAUUUUUAUUGUAAGUUUUGGGUGUGCGUUUUGGCCUUGGUCAUAUACAUAUGUAUAUUCUUUUUAAUUAGUAUGAUGAUUAUUGAUUAUUUGCUUAUUGAGGAAAUUGUUUAAUAAACAACUGAGUCCCACACCCCAAACCUAGUCAUCCUCGCCAACAACCUUUCAUCUCCUUUCUUUCUUUGUCACCAACAACCUCUAGCACCUGACUAAAACCUUGUUUGUUUAGCUCUUAAUGUCUCUUAAGAUUCAGAGCGUUUGGCUAGCACUUAAUUUAUCAUCUUAAUUGGAAAAAAAUGUCUGACCGAAUCAGAUGAAAACUCACGUCUGAAAAAAAAAAAAAGAGGACACGUAUUUUUAUUUUUCUAAUCCCUACCUUCGCCUCUUCUCUCUGUCAUCAAAGAACACCCGCCUUUAUCUUUCUUUCUUCUCAUCGACGCAUCAUUCUCGAUCUGCUCGGCGUUCCUCUCUGCCAUCGUGGGCGUCGUGUCCGGCUCCAACCGUUGAGCUACAACCCUCCAGCAUCGUCGCCGACUGUUGCAUCAUUCCUCCGGUUGCUACACCAUUCCUCCAUCCUCAAUCUGCUUAUCUUCGAUCUUCGGGUUGGAAUGAAAGACUGGAGUUUUGAGGCAAGAAUAAAAGAAUGAAAGAUUGUUUGUUUUUUGCAUGUCAAGUUUUUAGUGAAUGCAAACAUUUAUUUAUAAAUUGAAUUUGUAAAAGAUUAUUUCUUGUUUAAUGCAAGCCCUAAUGUGGAAUUUUUUGUAAAUUUGUGUUUUAAAGUCAUGAACAUAUGUAGUGGAUUAAAUGUUGAUAAAAAUUUUAUAUGUAAAUGUGAAUUUCUUAA
This is a long non-coding RNA of Lactuca sativa (garden lettuce), 985 nucleotides long. RefSeq lists it as uncharacterized. The record is from RefSeq and is a predicted model, not a curated record. NCBI's taxonomy places the organism in Eukaryota, Viridiplantae, Streptophyta, Magnoliopsida, Asterales, Asteraceae.